AAUGAGACUGCCGGUGACAAACCGGGAGGAAGGUGGGGAUGACGUCAAGUCCUCACUGGCCCUUAUGGGUAGGGCUUCACACGUAAUACAAUGGUCGGUACAGAGGUUGCCAACCCGCGAGGGGGAGCCAAUACCCAGAAAACCGAUCGUAGUCCGGAUUGCAGUCUGCAACUCGACUGCAUGAAGUCGGAAUCGCUAGUAAUCGCGGAUCAGCAUGUCGCGGUGAAUACGUUCCCGGGCCUU
This 243-nucleotide ribosomal RNA is filed under the name uncultured Derxia sp. RNAcentral describes it as "partial 16S ribosomal RNA". It matches the Rfam family "Bacterial small subunit ribosomal RNA", at positions 1142 to 1382 of the family's 1533-position model. The record is from RNAcentral. Lineage: Bacteria; Pseudomonadati; Pseudomonadota; Betaproteobacteria; Burkholderiales; Alcaligenaceae.